Molecule: long non-coding RNA, 856 nt
Organism: Triticum aestivum (bread wheat)
Lineage: Eukaryota; Viridiplantae; Streptophyta; Magnoliopsida; Poales; Poaceae
Exons: 3
Source: RefSeq, a predicted model, not a curated record
ACCCUGAUGCACAGGAAUACGGGCCCAUCUAAUUUUUUAGUGCUACCUACCACCUAAAAAGGCCCUGUGCAUCAGGUUGGCCCAACAUCAGUGCAUCAGGGUGUCCAGACUUCACGCACGCACGCCUCCGCAAUGGGCCAAUACAGGCCACGCACACACGCACCUGCUGUUUGUUCCCCAGCCCAAGUCACGUACGCACGCUGUAAUCAAUCGAUCGAUCAGUUUCCCGUGUAGACGUACGUGCGCGUACCAAGCGGCCGUGAAAUCAAUCGAUCCAUACGACCUAUAUACGCCUCGCGUACACAGGCGGCAGCGAACCGGCGACGUCGGACGCCGCAGGCCGCAGCACCACAGCCACACUUGAGUUCCGCGCGACACCUACCGCACUCGCAAUUUCGUCUUCGGCUGGCCCUCCUGCUCUCUGCAAUUCGGCGACCUGUCCGAGAGAUCUUCCGUUCUGUCUAUAGAUUGGAUAGGAAGGAACCCCAAUUCUGGUAGUGUCCUUGCCCUACCUUUUCUAAAUCUUUCUACGAAUUGCAAGUUGCAAAAGUUACGUUUUGGAAAACAUAAUUUGGGGAGAGAGGAUUCAAUAUGAUCCGGGCAAGAGAAAAUUGAAAGAAUGAAUGAAAAAGGCCAGCAAUGCUCAAGUUGUUGAAUAUUUCGUCGCUCGGAGGUGUAGGAUGUACUAAAGGUUACUGAACCUUGUUGUCCAAUGAUGUAUUCUGGAAUUUGGAAAUGCAAGACAUCCAUUUUCAGCUCCGCCCCUGGUCCCAUGGAGAUGGCCCCUGCUGCGACCUCCGCAAGGCCGGCGGUGAGGACGAGCGAGGAUGGAGCGCUUGCACCUGAGAGCCCCGCG